Long non-coding RNA from Papilio xuthus (Asian swallowtail), 794 nucleotides. RefSeq lists it as uncharacterized. Lineage: Eukaryota; Metazoa; Arthropoda; Insecta; Lepidoptera; Papilionidae. The record is from RefSeq and is a predicted model, not a curated record. The transcript has 2 exons.
AGCGCUAUAAUAAAACAGUUAUUAUUAUAAAUAAUGUGAUAGUAUUAUAGAUGUAUAUACCUAUGUUUGAUUUAAGUCAUUUGCAAUUGGCUGCGCUUGUAAGGAUCGUAGUGAUUUGUUUAUUUCGAACGCAAGAUAUUUGAGGUUAGAUAGUUCAUAAGUUUAGUCUGUCUAGUUGUCCCAGUCGCCGUGACAGCACAAUGCCGGCUCCGUGGUAUAAAUCAUAGCAGGUGAUCGUGUACGGGUCGCUAUGAGCAGUGUUAAGUGGUGUCAGCUUUCUUCGGAAUUUGACCGUGGAGAUUUAUCGUGGUUGAACAAUGAGUCGUGACAGGACACACCCCUUGAUGCGGCCUCAACGAACUGCGGCCAAUUUACGACCUAACUGUUCUGUUUGCAAUACGUAUCUUAUAACAUCUCCGUUGCUAACAAUAUUUUAUGUUUGUCGACCAAAGAGUUAUGUUCAUAACAUUGUAACUUAAAAAUUGUAUUUCAUGGUGUCUCUAUAUGGUUGAAUUAAACCCACUGGUAGGCCUACUACGAAGAAAAGUUUCUCUGUCUCAUUCAAAGUAAGGAUUGAAGUGUUAUAUUGCUUGACAUACUUUAUGGAUAAAUAAAUAUUUAUACUUUUCAUCGACUACAACAAUAAUGUAACCAAGUGGUGUAGGCAGAAACAGACUUUCAUUUAGCGCGCUCCUGAUAACUCUUCUGCUUUAUAAUCAUUCAUCCACUAUUCCACUGGUAUAUGUUUUUUUUACAGCGACCUAUAAAUAGAAGAGAAUUUAUUCCAAAGCUUU